GACGAACGCUGGCGGCGUGCUUAACACAUGCAAGUCGAACGGAGCGAAUGAAAGCUUGCUUUUAUGAGCUUAGUGGCAAACGGGUGAGUAACACGUAGACAACCUGCCGACAGGAUGGGGACAACAUUCCGAAAGGAAUGCUAAUACCGAAUGAAGUCAGAGGAGGGCAUCCUCCUCUGAUGGAAGAUGGCCUCUUUUUAUGCUAUCACCUGUUGAUGGGUCUGCGUCUGAUUAGCUAGUUGGUGAGGUAACGGCUCACCAAGGCGACGAUCAGUAGCCGGUCUGAGAGGAUGAACGGCCACAUUGGGACUGAGACACGGCCCAGACUCCUACGGGAGGCAGCAGUGGGGGAUCUUCCGCAAUGGGCGCAAGCCUGACGGAGCAACGCCGCGUGAGUGAAGAAGGUCUUCGGAUCGUAAAGCUCUGUUGACGGGGAC
Molecule: ribosomal RNA, 437 nt
Filed under: Selenomonas sp. oral taxon E50
Lineage: Bacteria; Bacillati; Bacillota; Negativicutes; Selenomonadales; Selenomonadaceae
Description: bacterial SSU rRNA
Rfam family: Bacterial small subunit ribosomal RNA
Source: RNAcentral